UAAUACCAGCACCUCGAGUGGUCAGGACGUUUAUUGGGCCUAAAGCAUCCGUAGCCGGCUUUGCAAGUCUUCGGUUAAAUCCACCUGCUCAACAGAUGGGCCGCUGGAGAUACUACAAAGCUAGGGAGUGGGAGAGGCAGACGGUAUUCAGUGGGUAGGGGUAAAAUCCUCUGAUCCAUUGAGGACCACCAGUGGCGAAGGCGGUCUGCCAGAACACGUUCGACGGUGAGGGAUGAAAGCUGGGGGAGCAAACCGGAUUAGAUACCCGGGUAGUCCCAGCUGUAAACGAUGCAAACUCGGUGAUGCAUUGGCUUAUGGCCAAUGCAGUGCCGCAGGGAAGCCGUUAAGUUUGCCGCCUGGGAAGUACGGACGCAAGUCUGAAACUUAGGAAUUGACGGACGUCG
RNAcentral lists this ribosomal RNA (404 nucleotides) under uncultured archaeon. RNAcentral's name for it is "bacterial SSU rRNA". It matches the Rfam family "Archaeal small subunit ribosomal RNA", at positions 471 to 877 of the family's 1478-position model. The record is from RNAcentral.